GAAUAUUGCGCAAUGGACGGAAGUCUGACGCAGCAAUGCCGCGUGCGGGAAGAAGGCGCUAUGCGUCGUAAACCGCUGUAGCGUGGGGCAAAAAGCACCCUCGGGGUGUGAGAUGGUACCACGAAAGUAAGCAUCGGCUAACUACGUGCCAGCAGCCGCGGUAAUACGUAGGAUGCAAGCGUUGUCCGGAUUUACUGGGUGUAAAGGGUGCGCAGGCGGGCUUGUAAGUCAGAGGUGAAAGCCCGGAGCUUAACUCCGGAAAUGCCUUUGAUACUGCGAGUCUUGAAUAUGAGAGAGGUUCAUGGAAUAUGUGGUGUAGCGGUGAAAUGCGUAGAUAUCACAUAGAACACCAGUGGCGAAGGCGGUGAACUGGCUCAUUAUUGACGCUCAUGCACGAAAGUGUGGGUAGCAAACAGGAUUAGAUACCCCAGUAGUC
Molecule: ribosomal RNA, 436 nt
Filed under: uncultured bacterium
Lineage: Bacteria
Description: bacterial SSU rRNA
Rfam family: Bacterial small subunit ribosomal RNA
Source: RNAcentral